Molecule: long non-coding RNA, 1385 nt
Filed under: Homo sapiens (human)
Lineage: Eukaryota; Metazoa; Chordata; Mammalia; Primates; Hominidae
Description: non-protein coding lnc-SNTG1-11:1
Source: RNAcentral
AGACACUAUUCCAGAUGCUGGGUGAACACACUCAACAAAAGAGCUCUCAGAGGACUGGGAUGGGGCUCAACCAAUUCAGAACUAUCACCUGCUCACUCACCCUCCAGAAAUCAUCGAUGCAGAUACCUGGUUGCAGGCCUCUGGCUGCAGGAACCAUAUGUGCUGCUGGAUGGGGUAGUGCAGCACAGGGACGUGGGAAGACCCACUGUCCCCAGAGGCCUUCCCGACCAGAGUGCAGAGCGCCUGUGUCUCCACAUGACUCAGCAAUGACUGUGGCCUGAGAAUGCCUGGCUGCACAGAAACAUCAAUCUGGGAUUUAAAAAUAAACAGGCUGGGUGCAGUGGCUCAUGCCUGUAAUCCCAGCACUUUGGGAGGCCAAGGCAGGUGGAUCACCUGAGGUCGGGAGUUCCAGACCAGCCUGACCAACAUGGAGAAACUCCAUCUCUACUAAAAAUACAAAAAUUAGCCGGGCAUAGUGGUGCAUGCCUGUAAUCCCAGAUACUCGGGAGGCUGAGGGCAGGAGAAACGCUUGAACGUGGGAGGCAAAGGUUGAGGUGAGCUGAGAUUGCACCAUUGCAUUCCAGCCUGGGCAACAAGAAUGAAACUCCGUCUCAAAAAUAACGGUAAUAAUAAUAAUAAUAAACAAAUAAACCAUUCAUACUGUAGUCCAGAUAUUCUUUCCAAUCAGCCCUGCUACAAGAUCUUGUGUUGGAAGCAAUUUUCAAGCUUUUCCUCAUGGAAGGAAAAAAGGACUUACUUAUAUUUUUAGCCUCUAAACAGUCACUUUGCACUUGAAACCUGUAAACUUAUUUGCUAUACUUUAUUUUUGAAUAUUUUGAUGGCUGUCUCUGCCAUAGCCACUCAACUGUGGUCUUCACACGUCUGUCAUAAAUGAACCCAUAUAUACAUUAGGUCUGAUACAAAACCAAAAUAUGUUAUUAAGGGUUUGGGCAGAUAUAUAAAAAGUUGAACACAUUUUAGUUUACUGCUGUUCUUAAAGUGAUUACCAACUGCGGACCAUUCUUGUACUUAUGAAAUAAAAUAUAAGCAUGCCUGCUAACAAUUCCAAUUUUAGUACCUUAGCUAGAAAUGGGUUUUGAAUCAGUUCUAAUGUUUAUAUUCAUGUUACAAUUAUGACCAAAUUAUACUAUUACUUUUAAAGAUUUUGGAACUGUUGUUUAAAUUUCUGGUUUGCUAUUUAGGUAUGUUAAAAAUGCAAAUUGUUUACAUAGUUCAAAUCCCUAAUCUAAGGCCACAGGAAAUAUAAUACCUCAAAAACAAAAAACUAAACCAACAAAACUUAUGAGAUCCAUCCAUUAAUCCUUCUGCUUGUUUAACAAAUACUAAGAAUCAGGCAUUGUUAGACAUUUAAGGAGAUAAGCCAU